This 794-nucleotide ribosomal RNA is filed under the name Ferdinandcohnia humi. Its description in RNAcentral is "bacterial SSU rRNA". It matches the Rfam family "Bacterial small subunit ribosomal RNA", at positions 71 to 847 of the family's 1533-position model. Lineage: Bacteria; Bacillati; Bacillota; Bacilli; Caryophanales; Bacillaceae. The record is from RNAcentral.
UUUGAGAGCUUGCUCUCAAAGGUUAGCGGCGGACGGGUGAGUAACACGUGGGCAACCUACCUGUAAGACUGGGAUAACUUCGGGAAACCGGAGCUAAUACCGGAUAACAUAUGAGACCGCAUGGUCUCGUAUUAGAAGAUGGCUUUUAGCUAUCACUUACAGAUGGGCCCGCGGCGCAUUAGCUAGUUGGUGAGGUAACGGCUCACCAAGGCAACGAUGCGUAGCCGACCUGAGAGGGUGAUCGGCCACACUGGGACUGAGACACGGCCCAGACUCCUACGGGAGGCAGCAGUAGGGAAUCUUCCGCAAUGGACGAAAGUCUGACGGAGCAACGCCGCGUGAGCGAAGAAGGUCUUCGGAUCGUAAAGCUCUGUUGUUAGGGAAGAACAAGUAUCGUUCGAAUAGGGCGGUACCUUGACGGUACCUAACCAGAAAGCCACGGCUAACUACGUGCCAGCAGCCGCGGUAAUACGUAGGUGGCAAGCGUUAUCCGGAAUUAUUGGGCGUAAAGCGCGCGCAGGCGGUCUUUUAAGUCUGAUGUGAAAGCCCACGGCUCAACCGUGGAGGGUCAUUGGAAACUGGGGGACUUGAGUGCAGAAGAGGAGAGCGGAAUUCCACGUGUAGCGGUGAAAUGCGUAGAGAUGUGGAGGAACACCAGUGGCGAAGGCGGCUCUCUGGUCUGUAACUGACGCUGAGGCGCGAAAGCGUGGGGAGCGAACAGGAUUAGAUACCCUGGUAGUCCACGCCGUAAACGAUGAGUGCUAAGUGUUAGAGGGUUUCCGCCCUUUAGUGCU